CGCUGACGUCGCACGCUGGCGGAGCCAAGCUGUCAUGGCCGCAAGACGCGAAGCCCCGAGUGGACCACGUUUAGGAGCACUAAGAAUGCUGCUGCGAGGUGUUCAGCGCAGUAAUUGCAGGGAGUGUGCGGGCAUCAUGGGGAGUUUGUGGCUCGGCGCUGGGCGGUCCUCUGCAUGUUUGGGUGGAGUGCUGCGGUGAAUUCUACACGGCUCCUGCUGGCGGGAAGCCUCUCCUUUUCUCUUUUUCUUUCUCUGUGUACCUGGUCUGUUCGGUGGUCGUGGCCCUCGCUCUCUGAAGUCUUCGUCUUGUGGGAAGCGCUACUGCGAGGCACGAUAUUGACUGUGAUAAUGGUCCUAAGGUCAUUCCAAGCAACGAGGCCAGGUUACCCAAAGGACAAUGAACG
Boleophthalmus pectinirostris (great blue-spotted mudskipper) is the source of this 404-nucleotide long non-coding RNA. RefSeq lists it as uncharacterized. NCBI's taxonomy places the organism in Eukaryota, Metazoa, Chordata, Actinopteri, Gobiiformes, Gobiidae. The transcript is spliced from 3 exons. The record is from RefSeq and is a predicted model, not a curated record.